This 185-nucleotide non-coding RNA is filed under the name Kistimonas sp. Its description in RNAcentral is "6S RNA". It matches the Rfam family "6S / SsrS RNA". Rfam says of the family: E. coli 6S RNA was the first non coding RNA to be sequenced, but its function was unknown until recently. It consists of 184 nucleotides that fold into an extended hairpin structure with a large single-stranded internal bulge. The record is from RNAcentral. Lineage: Bacteria; Pseudomonadati; Pseudomonadota; Gammaproteobacteria; Oceanospirillales; Endozoicomonadaceae.
UCCUCCUCGGCCUGUUUGCCAGUCCGUUUAGUCUCUGAGGCUUUGAUAACCUACCCAGGCGGCCUCUUCAGGAGUACUGAGCGUGCAUGCCCACCCUGGAGUGGGAAGCCCAUGGUACUCCAGCGGCUGCCACCUUGAGAAAACGUCUCAAGGGCCACAGCGGACAGCGGCGGGUCGGGGAGGUC